RNAcentral lists this ribosomal RNA (441 nucleotides) under uncultured bacterium. RNAcentral describes it as "partial 16S ribosomal RNA". It matches the Rfam family "Bacterial small subunit ribosomal RNA", at positions 338 to 795 of the family's 1533-position model. The record is from RNAcentral.
CCUACGGGUGGCAGCAGUAGGGAAUAUUGCGCAAUGGGGGAAACCCUGACGCAGCAACGCCGCGUGAGGGAUGAAGGCCUUCGGGGUGUAAAGAUCUGUCAGUGGGGACGAAACCUGACGGUACCCACAGAGGAAGCACCGGCUAACUCCGUGCCAGCAGCCGCGGUAAUACGGGGGGUGCAAGCGUUGUCCGGAAUCAUUGGGCGUAAAGAGUUCGUAGGUGGCACGUUAAGUCUGGAGGUAAAGGCGGAAGCUAAACUUCCGUAGGGCAGUGGAUACUGGCGGGCUUGAGUGCGGUAGAGGUAAGGGGAAUUCCUGGUGUAGCGGUGAAAUGCGUAGAUAUCAGGAAGAACAUCGGUGGCGUAGGCGCUUUACUGGGCCGUAAUUGACACUGAGGAACGAAAGCCGGGGUAGCAAAUAGGAUUAGAUACCCCUGUAGUC